CGGACUAAUGGGAGCUUGCUCCCGUUAGUUAGCGGCGGACGGGUGAGUAACACGUGGGCAACCUACCUGUAAGACUGGGAUAACUUCGGGAAACCGGAGCUAAUACCGGAUGACAUAAAGGAACUCCUGUUCCUUUAUUGAAAGAUGGCUUCGGCUAUCACUUACAGAUGGGCCCGCGGCGCAUUAGCUAGUUGGUGAGGUAACGGCUCACCAAGGCGACGAUGCGUAGCCGACCUGAGAGGGUGAUCGGCCACACUGGGACUGAGACACGGCCCAGACUCCUACGGGAGGCAGCAGUAGGGAAUCUUCCGCAAUGGACGAAAGUCUGACGGAGCAACGCCGCGUGAGCGAUGAAGGCCUUCGGGUCGUAAAGCUCUGUUGUUAGGGAAGAAUAAGUGCUAGUUGAAUAAGCUGGCACCUUGACGGUACCUAACCAGAAAGCCACGGCUAACUACGUGCCAGCAGCCGCGGUAAUACGUAGGUGGCAAGCGUUGUCCGGAAUUAUUGGGCGUAAAGCGCGCGCAGGCGGUUUCUUAAGUCUGAUGUGAAAGCCCCCGGCUCAACCGGGGAGGGUCAUUGGAAACUGGGAAACUUGAGUGCAGAAGAGGAAAGUGGAAUUCCAAGUGUAGCGGUGAAAUGCGUANAGAUUUGGAGGAACACCAGUGGCGAAGGCGACUUUCUGGUCUGUAACUGACGCUGAGGCGCGAAAGCGUGGGGAGCA
RNAcentral lists this ribosomal RNA (721 nucleotides) under Bacillus sp. T0-YC6749. RNAcentral describes it as "bacterial SSU rRNA". It matches the Rfam family "Bacterial small subunit ribosomal RNA", at positions 67 to 770 of the family's 1533-position model. The record is from RNAcentral. Lineage: Bacteria; Bacillati; Bacillota; Bacilli; Caryophanales; Bacillaceae.